Molecule: non-coding RNA, 403 nt
Organism: Vicugna pacos (alpaca)
Lineage: Eukaryota; Metazoa; Chordata; Mammalia; Artiodactyla; Camelidae
Source: RefSeq, a predicted model, not a curated record
AAAUAAUAGACAACACAAGGAAGAAAAUGAAUGGACAAAAAUUAGAAGUUCCUUGAUACCGUGAGACAAAAGGAAAAAUAUGAGGCAGAUACAGCGAUGGCAAGAAUCAUCGUUCAACACGUCCAGUGCAUGAAGCACAUUUCCUUUUGGUGCCUAAAAGAGGAGUUUCUGGUAUCUUCUUUCCGAACGUCCACAGUGGGAGAGAUGUAUGGGAAGCAGACAGAAGGCUGCCAGUAACACCCUCACUGACCGGCAAGCACAGCCAGGUAUCCGGCUGUAAACUUCGAUAACAUUAGAUUGUGAUUCCUGUAGAAAAUAUCUUCUCUGGUGAAAAUCAGCUGUUGCUAGCUUACCUGCUCCCUAUGUGCCUUACAGAAAGCUGAACACUGCCUUCUGUUGAGGA